This 489-nucleotide ribosomal RNA is filed under the name Streptococcus sp. oral taxon C08. RNAcentral's name for it is "bacterial SSU rRNA". It matches the Rfam family "Bacterial small subunit ribosomal RNA", at positions 28 to 499 of the family's 1533-position model. The record is from RNAcentral. Lineage: Bacteria; Bacillati; Bacillota; Bacilli; Lactobacillales; Streptococcaceae.
GACGAACGCUGGCGGCGUGCCUUAAUACAUGCAAGUAGAACGCUGAAGCUUGGUGCUUGCACCGAGCGGAUGAGUUGCGAACGGGUGAGUAACGCGUAGGUAACCUGCCUGGUAGCGGGGGAUAACUAUUGGAAACGAUAGCUAAUACCGCAUAAUAGUAGAUGUUGCAUGACAUUUGCUUAAAAGGUGCAAUUGCAUCACUACCAGAUGGACCUGCGUUGUAUUAGCUAGUUGGUGAGGUAACGGCUCACCAAGGCGACGAUACAUAGCCGACCUGAGAGGGUGAUCGGCCACACUGGGACUGAGACACGGCCCAGACUCCUACGGGAGGCAGCAGUAGGGAAUCUUCGGCAAUGGACGGAAGUCUGACCGAGCAACGCCGCGUGAGUGAAGAAGGUUUUCGGAUCGUAAAGCUCUGUUGUAAGAGAAGAACGAGUGUGAGAGUGGAAAGUUCACACUGUGACGGUAUCUUACCAGAAAGGACGGCUA